This 254-nucleotide ribosomal RNA is filed under the name uncultured bacterium. RNAcentral's name for it is "partial 16S ribosomal RNA". It matches the Rfam family "Bacterial small subunit ribosomal RNA", at positions 524 to 776 of the family's 1533-position model. The record is from RNAcentral.
UACGGGGGGGGCAAGCGUUGUUCGGAAUUACUGGGCGUAAAGGGCGCGUAGGCGGCCUCCGCAAGUCAAUUGUGAAAUCUCCGGGCUUAACUCGGAAAGGUCAACUGAUACUGCGGGGCUAGAGUGCGGAAGGGGCAACUGGAAUUCUUGGUGUAGCGGUGAAAUGCGUAGAUAUCAAGAGGAACACCUGCGGCGAAGGCGGGUUGCUGGGCCGACACUAACGCUGAGGCGCGAAAGCUAGGGGAGCGAACGGG